GACGAACGCUGGCGGCGUGCCUAACACAUGCAAGUCGAGCGGGGAAGAUUGGUAGCUUGCUACUGGUCUUUCUAGCGGCGGACGGGUGAGUAACGCGUGAGCAACCUGCCUCAAACAGGGGGAUAACGCAUCGAAAGAUGUGCUAAUACCGCGUAAGACCACGGGAUCACAUGGUUCUGGGGUCAAAGGAGCAAUCCGGUUUGAGAUGGGCUCGCGUCCGAUUAGCUAGUUGGUGAGAUAACAGCCCACCAAGGCGACGAUCGGUAGCCGACCUGAGAGGGUGAUCGGGCCACAUUGGGAACUGAGAGACGGUCCAGACUCCUACGGGAGCAGCAGUGGGGAAUAUUGGGCAAUGGGCGAAAGCCUGACCCAGCAACGCCGCGUGAGGGAAGAAGGG
RNAcentral lists this ribosomal RNA (397 nucleotides) under uncultured bacterium. Its description in RNAcentral is "bacterial SSU rRNA". It matches the Rfam family "Bacterial small subunit ribosomal RNA", at positions 28 to 415 of the family's 1533-position model. The record is from RNAcentral.